This 749-nucleotide ribosomal RNA is filed under the name Microbacterium aurantiacum. RNAcentral describes it as "partial 16S ribosomal RNA". It matches the Rfam family "Bacterial small subunit ribosomal RNA", at positions 61 to 823 of the family's 1533-position model. The record is from RNAcentral. Lineage: Bacteria; Bacillati; Actinomycetota; Actinomycetes; Micrococcales; Microbacteriaceae.
GUCGAACGGUGAAGCCAAGCUUGCUUGGUGGAUCAGUGGCGAACGGGUGAGUAACACGUGAGCAACCUGCCCUGGACUCUGGGAUAAGCGCUGGAAACGGCGUCUAAUACUGGAUAUGAGCUCUCAUCGCAUGGUGGGGGUUGGAAAGAUUUUUCGGUCUGGGAUGGGCUCGCGGCCUAUCAGCUUGUUGGUGAGGUAAUGGCUCACCAAGGCGUCGACGGGUAGCCGGCCUGAGAGGGUGACCGGCCACACUGGGACUGAGACACGGCCCAGACUCCUACGGGAGGCAGCAGUGGGGAAUAUUGCACAAUGGGCGGAAGCCUGAUGCAGCAACGCCGCGUGAGGGAUGACGGCCUUCGGGUUGUAAACCUCUUUUAGCAGGGAAGAAGCGAGAGUGACGGUACCUGCAGAAAAAGCGCCGGCUAACUACGUGCCAGCAGCCGCGGUAAUACGUAGGGCGCAAGCGUUAUCCGGAAUUAUUGGGCGUAAAGAGCUCGUAGGCGGUUUGUCGCGUCUGCUGUGAAAUCCCGAGGCUCAACCUCGGGCCUGCAGUGGGUACGGGCAGACUAGAGUGCGGUAGGGGAGAUUGGAAUUCCUGGUGUAGCGGUGGAAUGCGCAGAUAUCAGGAGGAACACCGAUGGCGAAGGCAGAUCUCUGGGCCGUAACUGACGCUGAGGAGCGAAAGGGUGGGGAGCAAACAGGCUUAGAUACCCUGGUAGUCCACCCCGUAAACGUUGGGAACUAGUUGU